GACGAACGCUGGCGGCGUGCUUAACACAUGCAAGUCGAACGGAAAGGCCCUGCUUUUGUGGGGUGCUCGAGUGGCGAACGGGUGAGUAACACGUGAGUAACCUGCCCUUGACUUUGGGAUAACUUCAGGAAACUGGGGCUAAUACCGGAUAGGAGCUCCUGCUGCAUGGUGGGGGUUGGAAAGUUUCGGCGGUUGGGGAUGGACUCGCGGCUUAUCAGCUUGUUGGUGGGGUAGUGGCUUACCAAGGCUUUGACGGGUAGCCGGCCUGAGAGGGUGACCGGCCACAUUGGAACUGAGAGACGGCCCAGACGCCUACGGGAGGCAGCAGGGGGGAAUAUUGAACAAUGGGCGGAAGCCUGAGGCAGCAACGCCGCGUGCGGGAUGACGGCCUUCGGGUUGUAAACCGCUUUAGCCUGUGACGAAGCGGGAGUGACGGUAAUGGGUAAAGAAGCACCGGCUAACUACGUG
Molecule: ribosomal RNA, 468 nt
Filed under: uncultured bacterium
Lineage: Bacteria
Description: partial 16S ribosomal RNA
Rfam family: Bacterial small subunit ribosomal RNA
Source: RNAcentral